RNAcentral lists this long non-coding RNA (202 nucleotides) under Mytilus galloprovincialis (Mediterranean mussel). The record is from RNAcentral. Lineage: Eukaryota; Metazoa; Mollusca; Bivalvia; Mytilida; Mytilidae.
AAAAGAUUCAGAUAGAGGAUUUGACAAUGUUGGACAUACCAGAGAACACUGAGGAAAACUUCAUAAAAUCAGUACAACUGCUAUCUUAAAGUGGUGACCAAGGCCAUGUUCACUGCAGUUAUCGGGGUAGCUGUAAGACAGGCACAUGUAAAAGCAAAAGUUUGAGCUUAUUGUGUAAUUCCAGAUUUCAUGCUUACUUGUC